This 252-nucleotide ribosomal RNA is filed under the name uncultured bacterium. Its description in RNAcentral is "partial 16S ribosomal RNA". It matches the Rfam family "Bacterial small subunit ribosomal RNA", at positions 524 to 776 of the family's 1533-position model. The record is from RNAcentral.
GACGAACCGUGCGAACGUUGUUCGGAAUCACUGGGCUUAAAGGGCGCGUAGGCGGCUUGGCAAGUCAGGGGUGAAAUCUUUCAGCUUAACUGGAAAAUAGCCUCCGAUACUGGGUGGCUGGAGGGAGAUAGGGGUGCGCGGAACUUCCGGUGGAGCGGUGAAAUGCGUAGAUAUCGGAAGGAACGCCGGAGGCGAAGGCGGCUUGCUGGGCUUGGUCUGACGCUGAGGCGCGAAAGCGUGGGAGCGAACAGG